UACGGGGGGAGCAAGCGUUGUUCGGAUUUACUGGGCGUAAAGCGUGCGCAGGCGGUUAUGUAAGACAGAUGUGAAAUCCCCGGGCUCAACCUGGGAACUGCAUUUGUGACUGCAUAGCUUGAGUGCGGCAGAGGGGGAUGGAAUUCCGCGUGUAGCGGUGAAAUGCGUAGAUAUCGAGAGGAACACCUGCGGCGAAGGCGGGUUGCUGGGCUGAUACUGACGCUGAGGCGCGAAAGCCAGGGGAGCGAACGGGG
Molecule: ribosomal RNA, 254 nt
Filed under: uncultured bacterium
Lineage: Bacteria
Description: partial 16S ribosomal RNA
Rfam family: Bacterial small subunit ribosomal RNA
Source: RNAcentral